UGGGGCGGGACUUCCUGUUUUAGUCUCUAUGAAGCGGGAUUUCCUGUUUUAGACCGUGUGGGGCGGGACUUCCUAUUUUCGUUGCUAUGGGGCAGAAAUUCCUGUUUUAGUUUCUCUAGGGCGGGACUUCUUCAUUUCAACCCCACGUGAGGCGGGACUUCCUCUAUUGGCGUGCUAUGGGGUGAUCGUGGGGGCGGACGGUUCCUGCGGGCUCCUCUACGACCCGGAAGUCCUCGACGGCGCCAUCGCCGCCGAGAUGGCCGACCACGCGCUCGCCUUCUGCCGAAGCCCCGCCCCUGAGCCCGCCCCCGGGAGGGCGCUGUUGUGGGAGGCGGUGGAAGCGCAGCAGCAGCGGAUGGAAGAGGUGAGUGGGGCAGUGUGUGUGGGGGGGGGGGCACGGUUCCUGGGACGCAUUUCUGGGGGGCGGCCCCAUUUUUGAGGGGAGAUGUCCCCAUGGGGCCAAGUUCCGGGGGGGCACAGCGCUGAGAGGGAGUGAUUUAGAAGGGGGGGAUUUCACGGGGGGCCCCACUUCUGUAGGUGCACAGUUAUGGGGGGGGACCCAGGUCUGGGGGAACGCGUUUCUGAGGAUGCAUUUAUGAGAGGGGAACCCAUUCCUAGAGGAUGCGUUUCUGGGGGACGUUUUUACUGGGGAACCAAUGAGGGAUGAAUGCGUUUCCGAGGAUGCAUG
Molecule: long non-coding RNA, 688 nt
Filed under: Numida meleagris (helmeted guineafowl)
Lineage: Eukaryota; Metazoa; Chordata; Aves; Galliformes; Numididae
Description: lncRNA (ENSNMEG00000002246.1)
Source: RNAcentral